Molecule: non-coding RNA, 374 nt
Organism: Taeniopygia guttata (zebra finch)
Lineage: Eukaryota; Metazoa; Chordata; Aves; Passeriformes; Estrildidae
Source: RefSeq, a predicted model, not a curated record
AGUGUAUACUCAAUGUAACAUGUUAGUGAUAAUUUCAUAUUUCUUCCCAGUUACUACUCAGUUCUAUAUGCUGAUUCUAAUACAAACUACCAGCUAUUUAUUCAUUGGAGCUUCCAAAAUGGCUUUUUCUCUCUUGAUCAGGCUUGUUAGACCAUUGACACAACAUGCCACCACCAGCUGGAGGCAGCUUUGUCAAGUACAGUAGCUCUUAUAAGACCAAGGUGAGUGUGUUUAAUCACAGAAGACAAAUGUUACAGAAGAGUAUUCUUAAUUCUUAGAACACUUCAAGACCAUUUCAGCCUUGCCCAAGGUUAGCCAGAUUUUCUUCAAGUGCCUGCCUUCCCUGCAGGUAAUAGCACUUUAGGCAUGAAAAA